UACGGGGGGGGCAAGCGUUGUUCGGAAUUACUGGGCGUAAAGGGCUUGUAGGCGGCCAACUAAGUCAGACGUGAAAUCCCUCGGCUUAACCGGGGAACUGCGUCUGAUACUGGAUGGCUUGAGUUCGGGAGAGGGAUGCGGAAUUCCAGGUGUAGCGGUGAAAUGCGUAGAUAUCGUAAGGAAGACCAGUGGCGAAGGCGGGUCUCUGGACAGUUCCUGACGCUGAGGCACGAAGGUCAGGGGAGCAAACGGG
This 253-nucleotide ribosomal RNA is filed under the name uncultured bacterium. RNAcentral's name for it is "partial 16S ribosomal RNA". It matches the Rfam family "Bacterial small subunit ribosomal RNA", at positions 524 to 776 of the family's 1533-position model. The record is from RNAcentral.